RNAcentral lists this ribosomal RNA (547 nucleotides) under Geothelphusa dehaani. RNAcentral describes it as "partial 16S rRNA". It matches the Rfam family "Bacterial large subunit ribosomal RNA", at positions 1821 to 2625 of the family's 2925-position model. Lineage: Eukaryota; Metazoa; Arthropoda; Malacostraca; Decapoda; Potamidae. The record is from RNAcentral.
GUUUGUUUGAAGUUAUAAAUGAUUUGGCCUGCCCCCUGAUUUUGAGUUUAAAGGGCCGCAGUAUUAAUAACUGUGCAAAGGUAGCAUAAUCAUUAGGUUUUUAAUUGGAAUCUUGUAUGAAUGGUUAGACAAAAGAAUAACUCUCUUUAUAUUAAUAUUGAAUUUAACUUUUAAGUGAAAAGGCUUAAAUAAACUAGGGGGACGAUAAGACCCUAUAAAACUUUACAUUGUAGUUAUAUUUUAGUGAAUUUAUAAAUAAAAGUUUAAUUUAAUUAUUUGUUAUGUUGGGGAGAUAUAAGUAAAAUUUAUUUUAACUGCUUAGUAAGUUAUACAAUUAUUAGUGAUAAGUUCAUAAAAGAUCCUUUUUGAAGAUUAAUAGAUUAAGUUACUUUAGGGAUAACAGCGUAAUUUCCUUUAAGAGUUCUUAUCGAAAAGGAAGGUUGCGACCUCGAUGUUGAAUUAAAAAAUCUAUAUAAUGAAGAGGUUAUAUAAGAAGGUCUGUUCGACCUUUAAAAUUUUACAUGAUUUGAGUUCAAACCGGUGUAAG